RNAcentral lists this ribosomal RNA (305 nucleotides) under uncultured bacterium. RNAcentral's name for it is "bacterial SSU rRNA". It matches the Rfam family "Bacterial small subunit ribosomal RNA", at positions 337 to 657 of the family's 1533-position model. The record is from RNAcentral.
ACCUACGGGGGGCAGCAGUGGGGAAUAUUGGGCAAUGGGCGCAAGCCUGACCCAGCAACGCCGCGUGAAGGAAGAAGGCUUUCGGGUUGUAAACUUCUUUUAAGAGGGAAGAGCAGAAGACGGUACCUCUUGAAUAAGCCACGGCUAACUACGUGCCAGCAGCCGCGGUAAUACGUAGGGGGCAAGCGUUAUCCGGAUUUACUGGGUGUAAAGGGAGCGUAGACGGCUGUGCAAGUCUGAAGUGAAAGCCCAGGGCUCAACCCUGGGACUGCUUUGGAAACUGUGGAGCUAGAGUGCUGGAGAGG